UACGUAGGGUGCAAGCGUUGUCCGGAAUUAUUGGGCGUAAAGAGCUCGUAGGCGGUUUGUCGCGUCUGCUGUGAAAACGCGGGGCUCAACUCCGCGCCUGCAGUGGGUACGGGCAGACUAGAGUGCAGUAGGGGAGACUGGAAUUCCUGGUGUAGCGGUGGAAUGCGCAGAUAUCAGGAGGAACACCGGUGGCGAAGGCGGGUCUCUGGGCAAUAACUGACGCUGAGGAGCGAAAGCGUGGGGAGCGAACAGG
RNAcentral lists this ribosomal RNA (253 nucleotides) under uncultured bacterium. RNAcentral describes it as "partial 16S ribosomal RNA". It matches the Rfam family "Bacterial small subunit ribosomal RNA", at positions 524 to 776 of the family's 1533-position model. The record is from RNAcentral.